This 507-nucleotide ribosomal RNA is filed under the name Austroraptus calcaratus. RNAcentral's name for it is "partial 16S ribosomal RNA". It matches the Rfam family "Bacterial large subunit ribosomal RNA", at positions 1814 to 2604 of the family's 2925-position model. Lineage: Eukaryota; Metazoa; Arthropoda; Pycnogonida; Pantopoda; Ammotheidae. The record is from RNAcentral.
CAUGGCUUUAUGAUAUAAUUUAUAUUAGGUCAAACCUGCCCAAUGAAAUUUUUAAAUGGCCGCAGUAAAUUGACUGUGCAAAGGUAGCAUAAUAAUUUGUCUUUUAAUUGGAGACUGGAAUGAAUGGUUUAACGUGAUGGAAGCUGUCUUUAUUUUCAUUUUUGAAAUUUACUUUUAAGUUAAAAGGCUUAUAAAUAAUAUUAAGGGACGAGAAGACCCCAUCAAGUUUAAUAAUUUAUUGAGUAAAAUUCAUUGAUUAUUUAUAAUAAAUUAUUUUUCUGGGGCGGAAAUAAUAAACUAUCUUUUAUUAAAAGAAAUAAUUUAUAUAUUUAUCAAUAAAACUUUUAUUAAAAAAGUAAAAUAAAAUUACUGUGGGGGUAACAGCGUUAUUCUUUUGGAAAGUUCAUAUUAAUAAAAGAGAUUACGACCUCGAUGUUGGAUUAAAUUUUCCCCAUAAUGAAGAAGUUAUGAAGGUAAGUCUGUUCGACUUAUUAAAAAUUACGUGAU